RNAcentral lists this ribosomal RNA (253 nucleotides) under uncultured bacterium. RNAcentral describes it as "partial 16S ribosomal RNA". It matches the Rfam family "Bacterial small subunit ribosomal RNA", at positions 524 to 776 of the family's 1533-position model. The record is from RNAcentral.
UACGAAGGGGGCUAGCGUUGCUCGGAAUUACUGGGCGUAAAGCGCACGUAGGCGGUUUCUUAAGUCGGGGGUGAAAUCCUGGAGCUCAACUCCAGAACUGCCUUCGAUACUGGGAAACUUGAGUCCGGGAGAGGUGAGUGGAACUGCGAGUGUAGAGGUGAAAUUCGUAGAUAUUGGGAAGAACACCGGUGGCGAAGGCGGCUCACUGGCUCGUUUCUGACGCUCAGGCGCGACAGCGUGGGGAUCAAACAGG